GGGAAUGUGGCUUAGUGGUAGAGCACUUACCUAGCAUGCAUGAAGCCCUAGGUUCAAUUCCUCAGCACCA
Molecule: transfer RNA, 70 nt
Filed under: Dipodomys ordii (Ord's kangaroo rat)
Lineage: Eukaryota; Metazoa; Chordata; Mammalia; Rodentia; Heteromyidae
Rfam family: tRNA
About the family: Transfer RNA (tRNA) molecules are approximately 80 nucleotides in length. Their secondary structure includes four short double-helical elements and three loops (D, anti-codon, and T loops).
Source: Rfam by way of RNAcentral